This 253-nucleotide ribosomal RNA is filed under the name uncultured bacterium. RNAcentral describes it as "partial 16S ribosomal RNA". It matches the Rfam family "Bacterial small subunit ribosomal RNA", at positions 524 to 776 of the family's 1533-position model. The record is from RNAcentral.
UACGUAGGGGGCUAGCGUUGUCCGGAAUCAUUGGGCGUAAAGAGCGUGUAGGCGGUCCGGUAAGUCCGCUGUGAAAGUCGGGGGCUCAACCCUCGAAUGCCGGUGGAUACUGUCGGGCUAGAGUGCGGAAGAGGCGAGUGGAAUUCCUGGUGUAGCGGUGGAAUGCGUAGAGAUCGGGAAGAACAUCAGUGGCGAAGGCGGCCUGCUGGGCUGUUGCUGACGCUGAGGCGCGACAGCGUGGGGAGCAAACAGG